CGCUGGCGGCGUGCUUAACACAUGCAAGUCGAACGAGAGGAGAAGGAAGCUUGCUUCUUUCAAAUCUAGUGGCAAACGGGUGAGUAACGCGUAAGCAACCUGCCCUUCAGAUGGGGACAACAGCUGGAAACGGCUGCUAAUACCGAAUACGUUCUUUUUGUCGCAUGGCAGAGGGAAGAAAGGGAGGCUCUUCGGAGCUUUCGCUGAAGGAGGGGCUUGCGUCUGAUUAGCUAGUUGGAGGGGUAACGGCCCACCAAGGCGACGAUCAGUAGCCGGUCUGAGAGGAUGGACGGCCACAUUGGAACUGAGACACGGUCCAGACUCCUACGGGAGGCAGCAGUGGGGAAUCUUCCGCAAUGGGCGAAAGCCUGACGGAGCAACGCCGCGUGAGUGAAGAAGGUCUUCGGAUCGUAAAGCUCUGUUGUCGGGGACGAAUGUUGAGAUCUAGAAUAUAGAUUUCAAAUGACGGUACCUGACGAGGAAGCCACGGCUAACUACGUG
This 501-nucleotide ribosomal RNA is filed under the name uncultured bacterium. RNAcentral's name for it is "bacterial SSU rRNA". It matches the Rfam family "Bacterial small subunit ribosomal RNA", at positions 34 to 507 of the family's 1533-position model. The record is from RNAcentral.